This 468-nucleotide ribosomal RNA is filed under the name uncultured bacterium. Its description in RNAcentral is "partial 16S ribosomal RNA". It matches the Rfam family "Bacterial small subunit ribosomal RNA", at positions 28 to 507 of the family's 1533-position model. The record is from RNAcentral.
GACGAACGCUGGCGGCGUGCUUAACACAUGCAAGUCGAACGGAAAGGCCCUGCUCUUGUGGGGUGCUCGAGUGGCGAACGGGUGUGUAACACGUGUGUAACCUGCCUUUGACUUUGGGAUAACUUCAGGAAACUGGGGCUAAUACCGUAUAGGAGCUCCUGCUGCAUGGUGGGGGUUGGAAAGUCUCGGCGGUUGGGGAUGGACUCGCGGCUUAUCAGCUUGUUGGUGGGGUAGUGGCUUACCAAGGUUUGGACGGGUAGCCGGCCUGAGAGGGUGACCGGCCACAUUGGGACUGAGAUCCGCCCCAGACUCCUACGGGAGGCAGCAGUGGGGAAUAUUGCACAAUGGGCGGAAGCCUGAUGCAGCAACGCCGCGUGCGGGAUGACGGCCUUCGGGUUGUAAACCGCUUUCGCCUGUGACGAAGCGUGAGUGACGGUAAUGGGUAAAGAAGCACCGGCUAACUACGUG